GACAAACGCUGGCGGCGUGCUUAACACAUGCAAGUCGAACGAAGAGCGAUGGAAGCUUGCUUCUAUCAAUCUUAGUGGCGAACGGGUGAGUAACGCGUAAUCAACCUGCCCUUCAGAGGGGGACAACAGUUGGGAACGACUGCUAAUACCGCAUACGAUCUAAUCUCGGCAUCGAGGAUAGAUGAAAGGUGGCCUCUACAUGUAAGCUAUCACUGAAGGAGGGGAUUGCGUCUGAUUAGCUAGUUGGAGGGGUAACGGCCCACCAAGGCGAUGAUCAGUAGCCGGUCUGAGAGGAUGAACGGCCACAUUGGGACUGAGACACGGCCCAGACUCCUACGGGAGGCAGCAGUGGGGAAUCUUCCGCAAUGGACGAAAGUCUGACGGAGCAACGCCGCGUGAGUGAUGACGGCCUUCGGGUUGUAAAGCUCUGUUAAUCGGGACGAAAGGCCUUCUUGCGAAUAGUGAGAAGGAUUGACG
RNAcentral lists this ribosomal RNA (477 nucleotides) under Veillonella parvula. Its description in RNAcentral is "bacterial SSU rRNA". It matches the Rfam family "Bacterial small subunit ribosomal RNA", at positions 28 to 474 of the family's 1533-position model. The record is from RNAcentral. Lineage: Bacteria; Bacillati; Bacillota; Negativicutes; Veillonellales; Veillonellaceae.